This 468-nucleotide ribosomal RNA is filed under the name uncultured bacterium. RNAcentral's name for it is "partial 16S ribosomal RNA". It matches the Rfam family "Bacterial small subunit ribosomal RNA", at positions 28 to 507 of the family's 1533-position model. The record is from RNAcentral.
GACGAACGCUGGCGGCGUGCUUAACACAUGCAAGUCGAACGGAAAGGCCCUGCUUUUGUGGGGUGCUCGAGUGGCGAACGGGUGAGUAACACGUGAGUAACCUGCCCUUGACUUUGGGAUAACUUCAGGAAACUGGGGCUAAUACCGGAUAGGAGCUCCUGCUGCAUGGUGGGGGUUGGAAAGUUUCGGCGGUUGGGGAUGGACUCGCGGCUUAUCAGCUUGUUGGUGGGGUAGUGGCUUACCAAGGCUUUGACGGGUAGCCGGCCUGAGAGGGUGACCGGCCACAUUGGGACUGAGAUACGGCCCAGACUCCAACGGGAGGCAGCAGUGGGGAAUAUUACACAAUGGGCGGAAGCCUGAUGCAGCAACGCCGCGUGCGGGAUGACGGCCUUCGGGUUGUAAACCGCUUUCGCCUGUGACGAAGCGUGAGUGACGGUAAUGGGUAAAGAAGCACCGGCUAACUACGUG